RNAcentral lists this ribosomal RNA (236 nucleotides) under uncultured bacterium. RNAcentral's name for it is "partial 16S ribosomal RNA". It matches the Rfam family "Bacterial small subunit ribosomal RNA", at positions 118 to 347 of the family's 1533-position model. The record is from RNAcentral.
UGAGCAACCUGCCCUUGACCCUGGAAUAACAGCUGGAAACAGCUGCUAAUACCGGAUACGACCUCCGAUGGCAUCAUCUGGAGGUGGAAAGCUCCGACGGUCAAGGAUGGGCUCGCGGCCUAUCAGCUUGUUGGUGAGGUAACGGCUCACCAAGGCUUCGACGGGUAGCCGGCCUGGAGAGGGCCGACCGGCCACACGUGGGACUGAGAUACCGGCCCAGACUUCCCGUAGGGAGG